CCCCUUAUGAGUAUUUAUAGGAAGCAGAGCCCAUUUUCUAUUGUCAGGGCAGGGGCACAGGAGCUGAGGUCAACCAGCCGGGUCCACUUGCUCCAGACUGUGCAUGUGGAGCUGAUGACACAGGAGAGCAGAAUCUGGGAGAGCACUUACUGGGCAGUGGGUGACAGCAGUGGCGGGACGCUGCCCAAGAACCAGCAGCACUGUGGCAUCUUCAUUUUACCUGAAGGAAUUUUGCCUGGGAGGCUCCUCUACGCUCUCGAUUGAUAAAUAUUACAGCUCAAGAGGACGUGAGAGUUCAUCACCAGCCUGAAUCAUAUGGAGAAGUAAAAGGGUCUGGAGAGGACAGGUGAAGAGCCAGUGACAGAGCUGGGACCGGAGCCCAGAGGUCUUAUUGCCCAAUCCAGUGCUUUUCCUGAACGCCAUUCUACCGCGACUGUGUGGCGAAGCUGCCAGGACGGAUGGGUCUGGUCUCACUGCAGGAAUCACACAAGCCUCAGGAUACUUUCCUUCAGCCCACUUUCUACAAGAUUGGGAAAAGCAAUCAUCCACAGGGUAUCCCUUCGGUGUCCAGGAAAAAAGUUUUAAGUGAUGAGUUGGAAGGGCAAUGGCAUUUCUUUCCACAGAUUGGUCAGUACAACAAGGUCAGUGAUUGCCUAAAAUUGUGGGCCCAGUCCCACGGGGCAAGCAGAGUAGUGGAACAGGGGAGAAAACUCCUGAGAGAGAGGAAGAAGCACAGCUUUGGAAAAGAUGACAGACUCAAGUCUGAAUCUUGGCUCUGACACUUAUUAGCUUUGGUCUCUGGGCAAGGAAUUAACCUCUUGGAACCCCAAGUUCUUUAUCUGAUUAUUAAAAUAAAACUUCUCAUGAUUAAAAAUUGAUCCACUAUAGAAAUAAUGAAAAUUAAACUAUUCAGUAACCUCAGCCUCUCCUUCAAAGAAACGUUGUUAACCUUUUGUUACAUCUCCUCUGGACUCUUUUCCAAAGACAUUCUCUAACUUAAAAAAAUUUUUCUUUGCAAUAUGGGUGGACCUAGAGAUUAUCAUACUAAGUGAAGUAAGCCAGACAGAGAAAGACAAAUAUCAUAUGAUAUCGCUUAUAUGUGGAAUCUUUAAAAAAAAAAAAAAAGGAUACAAA
Orcinus orca (killer whale) is the source of this 1134-nucleotide long non-coding RNA. RefSeq lists it as uncharacterized. The transcript has 2 exons. The record is from RefSeq and is a predicted model, not a curated record. NCBI's taxonomy places the organism in Eukaryota, Metazoa, Chordata, Mammalia, Artiodactyla, Delphinidae.